Molecule: ribosomal RNA, 407 nt
Filed under: uncultured bacterium
Lineage: Bacteria
Description: partial 16S ribosomal RNA
Rfam family: Bacterial small subunit ribosomal RNA
Source: RNAcentral
AUUGAACGCUGGCGGCAGGCCUAACACAUGCAAGUCGAGCGGAGCGGCGGACGGGUGGGUAAUGCCUAGGAAUCUGCCUGGUAGUGGGGGAUAACGUCCGGCAACGGGCGCUAAUACCGCAUACUAUCAGAUGAGCCUAGGUCGGAUUAGCUAGUUGGUGGGGUAAAGGCCUACCAAGGAGACGAUCCGUAACUGGUCUGAGAGGAUGAUCAGUCACAAUUGAAAUGAGAAACGGUCCAGAUGCGUCAGGGAGGCAGCAGUGGGGAAUAUUGGACAAUGGGCGAAAGCCUGAUCCAGACAUGCCGCGUGUGUGAAGAAGGUCUUCGGAUUGUAAAGAGCUGUAAGUUGGGAGGCGUUACCAACAGAAUAAGCACCGGCUAACUUCGUGCCAGCAGCCGCGGUAAUAC